UGAAAGAAGUAUAUUUCCAUUAAACACAUGCAUGCGAAAAAGAAAGACCAUAGGACGGUCCCAUUUAAUAAUUUUUAUCAUCAUAAACCAACACUGGCUCAACUUUCCCUUCCACUACCCUUGCUUAAACUCAAUACUGCUAACAAUUUGCAAGUAGGCAGAGGCAACCUACUAAACAGAUUAUAAUCACAGGAGGAUAGGAAACGUCUUUCCGUAUAACUCACAAUUUUAAUCGAGUGGCAGUUCGCCGCUUGCAUCAUCCAUAGACAAGAGAGACUUGAGAAGCCAUUUUAAAACAAAAUCUACUUUUAAGUCUCCCCAAAUUAAUGGAAUCAUCUCAUCUGAGCAUGUUGCUUGGCGGACGUCGAUGAAUCCAUCUGCUGGCUCUGUUGGUUUUUGUCCUCAUGAUGUGAAUUUACACUUUUUUCUGCUUCAGCUCUUUCAAGC
This 447-nucleotide unclassified non-coding RNA is filed under the name Hevea brasiliensis (rubber tree). Lineage: Eukaryota; Viridiplantae; Streptophyta; Magnoliopsida; Malpighiales; Euphorbiaceae. The record is from RNAcentral.